This is a small nuclear RNA of Nannospalax galili (Upper Galilee mountains blind mole rat), 125 nucleotides long. The record is from Ensembl. Lineage: Eukaryota; Metazoa; Chordata; Mammalia; Rodentia; Spalacidae.
GACUUAUAUAAAAGGAGAGAAGUUUAGCUCUCCCCUUGACAAAGAUUGAAGAGGCUCUUGGCCCAACAACAUACAUAUGGUUAAAGCAUUGCCACCUACUUCAUGACAUCUAACCAGGAUGAAGU